AUUGAACGCUGGCGGCAGGCCUAACACAUGCAAGUCGAGCGGGGUUUACGGACCUAGCGGCGGACGGGUGAGUAAUGCGUAGGAAGCUGCCCGAUAGAGGGGGAUACCAGUUGGAAACGACUGUUAAUACCGCAUAAUGUCUACGGACCAAAGUGUGGGACCUUCGGGCCACAUGCUAUCGGAUGCGCCUACGUGGGAUU
This 200-nucleotide ribosomal RNA is filed under the name uncultured bacterium. RNAcentral describes it as "partial 16S ribosomal RNA". It matches the Rfam family "Bacterial small subunit ribosomal RNA", at positions 30 to 242 of the family's 1533-position model. The record is from RNAcentral.